Molecule: ribosomal RNA, 1356 nt
Filed under: uncultured marine eukaryote
Lineage: Eukaryota
Description: SSU rRNA
Rfam family: Eukaryotic small subunit ribosomal RNA
Source: RNAcentral
CACUUCUAAGGAAGGCAGCAGGCGCGCAAAUUACCCAAUCCUGACUCAGGGAGGUAGUGACAAGAAAUAACAAUAAACCGGCUUAUGCCGGUUUAAUUGGAAUGAGUACAAUUUAAACAUCUUAACGAGGAACAAUUGGAGGGCAAGUCUGGUGCCAGCAGCCGCGGUAAUUCCAGCUCCAAUAGCGUAUACUAAAGUUGUUGCAGUUAAGAAGCUCGUAGUUGGAUUUCUGUGGGGACGGAGCGGCUGGCCGCACAUCGCGGUUCGAGCUAGCGCUUUCCCUACAUCCUGCCGCGAACCGUGCUACCAUUAGUUUGGUGGCGCCGGGGAUCGGCUCGAUUACUUUGAGAAAAAUAGAGUGUUCAAAGCAGGCCACAUGCCUUGAAUAAGUUAGCAUGGAAUAAUAACUAAGGACUUCGGUUCUAUUUUGUUGGUGUUCGGGACUGAAGUAAUGAUUGAUAGGGACAGUUGGGGCGGUCUGUAUUCCAAAGCGAGAGGUGAAAUUCUUAGACCUUCGGAAGACAAACAGCUGCGAAAGCGUUCCGCAAGGAUGUUCCCUUUGAUCAAGAACGAAAGUUGGGGGAUCGAAGACGAUCAGAUACCGUCGUAGUCUCAACUAUAAACUAUACCAGCUAGGGAUCGGCCAACGUUAUUUUAUACCGACUUGGUCGGCACCUUAUGAGAAAUCAAAGCAUCUGGGUUCCGGGGGGAGUAUGGUCGCAAGGCUGAAACUUAAAGGAAUUGACGGAAGGGCACCACCAGCCGUGGAGCCUGUGGCUUAAUUUGACUCAACACGGGAAAACUUACCAGGUCCAGACAUAGUAAGGAUUGACAGAUUGAUAGCUCUUUCUUGAUUCUGUGGGUGGUGGUGCAUGGCCGUUCUUAGUUGGUGGAGUGAUUUGUCUGGUUAAUUCCGUUAACGAACGAGACCCCAGCCUGCUAAAUAGCGCGCGUGAGCUUUGCUCGCGGCGAGCUUCUUAGAGGGACUAUGAUGCGCGAUAGCACAUGGAAGUUUGGGGCAAUAACAGGUCUGUGAUGCCCUUAGAUGUUCUGGGCCGCACACGGGCUACACUGGCGCCUGCAACGAGCAUAUCAGCUGGCCCGAGAGGGUCUUGGCUAAUCUUUUGAACCGGCGCCGUGCUUGGGAUUGACCUUUGCAAUUGUUGGUCAUGCAACGAGGAAUGCCUUGUAAACGCGAGUCAUCAGCUCGCAUUGAAUACGUCCCUGCCCUUUGUACACACCGCCCGUCGCUCCUACCGAUGAAUGUUCCGAUGAAAUUUUCGGAGAGCACCUGUGAACUUGGCUCUGCCUUGCGAACGGGAGGCUCAAAGUCACUUAAAUCUGAACAUUUCGAGG